RNAcentral lists this ribosomal RNA (498 nucleotides) under uncultured bacterium. RNAcentral describes it as "partial 16S ribosomal RNA". It matches the Rfam family "Bacterial small subunit ribosomal RNA", at positions 30 to 523 of the family's 1533-position model. The record is from RNAcentral.
AUUGAACGCUGGCGGCAUGCCUUACACAUGCAAGUCGAACGGUAACAGGUCUUCGGAUGCUGACGAGUGGCGAACGGGUGAGUAAUACAUCGGAACGUGCCUAGUAGUGGGGGAUAACUACUCGAAAGAGUGGCUAAUACCGCAUGAGAUCUACGGAUGAAAGCAGGGGAUCGCAAGACCUUGUGCUACUAGAGCGGCCGAUGGCAGAUUAGGUAGUUGGUGGGAUAAAAGCUUACCAAGCCGACGAUCUGUAGCUGGUCUGAGAGGACGAUCAGCGACACUGGGACUGAGACACGGCCCAGGCUCCUACGGGAGGCAGCAGUGGGGAAUUUUGGACAAUGGGCGCAAGCCAGAUCCAGCAAUGCCGCGUGCAGGAUGAAAGUCUUCGGGUUGUAAACUGCUUUUGUACGGAACGAAAAGCCCCGGGUUAAUACCCUGGGGUCAUGACGGUACCGUAAGAAUAAGCACCGGCUAACUACGUGCCAGCCGCCGCCGUAA